UGUCGGCAUGGAAUGGUCCGGAGAUGGCCGUGCAAGCAAUGGAAGCCAGAGUCUCCCCGCGAGAGUUGAUGGAAUGGGAGACGUGCUUGCAGGAGCCAUCGUCCUUGUUGCCGUCGACGUUGACCCCCUCCGUGUUGCAGCGAGUCACAACAACAGCGGGAAACAGAAAUGACUACAUAAGAAGGCAUGGAAUGCAACAUGCACAUUAGGGUCACUCCCUAAGUUGCAGGUACAGGUUAUGCGAUGUUCAUGACGCGAGAGCGAUGCUUGCUUGUCUUGGA
This is a long non-coding RNA of Triticum dicoccoides, 281 nucleotides long. RefSeq lists it as uncharacterized. The transcript has 3 exons. NCBI's taxonomy places the organism in Eukaryota, Viridiplantae, Streptophyta, Magnoliopsida, Poales, Poaceae. The record is from RefSeq and is a predicted model, not a curated record.